Molecule: ribosomal RNA, 253 nt
Filed under: uncultured bacterium
Lineage: Bacteria
Description: partial 16S ribosomal RNA
Rfam family: Bacterial small subunit ribosomal RNA
Source: RNAcentral
UACGUAGGGGGCAAGCGUUGUCCGGAAUCAUUGGGCGUAAAGAGCGUGUAGGCGGCUUGGUAAGUCCGCUGUGAAAGUCCAGGGCUCAACCCUGGAAAGCCGGUGGAAACUGUCAAGCUUGAGUCCGGAAGAGGCGAGUGGAAUUCCUGGUGUAGCGGUGAAAUGCGCAGAUAUCAGGAGGAACACCAAUGGCGAAGGCAGCUCGCUGGGACGGUACUGACGCUGAGAGACGAAAGCUAGGGGAGCGAAUGGG